GAUGAAGAACGCAGCGAAAUGCGAUAAGUAAUGUGAAUUGCAGAAUUCAGUGAAUCAUCGAAUCUUUGAACGCACAUUGCGCCCGCCAGUAUUCUGGCGGGCAUGCCUGUUCGAGCGUCAUUUCAACCAUCAAGCCCCCGGCUUGUGUUGGGGACCUGCGGCUGCCGCAGGCCCUGAAAAGCAGUGGCGGGCUCGCUGUCACACCGAGCGUAGUAGCAUACAUCUCGCUCUGGGCGUGCUGCGGGUUCCGGCCGUUAACCACCUUCAUAACCCAAGGUUGACCUCGGAUCAGGUAGGAAGACCCGCUGAACUUAAGCAUAUCAUAAGCGGAGGA
RNAcentral lists this unclassified non-coding RNA (334 nucleotides) under soil metagenome. Its description in RNAcentral is "partial contains 5.8S ribosomal RNA, internal transcribed spacer 2, and large subunit ribosomal RNA". The stretch from base 1 to 120 matches the Rfam family "5.8S ribosomal RNA", at positions 35 to 154 of the family's 154-position model. The record is from RNAcentral.